GUUAAGUAGACCGCCUGGGGAGUACGGCCGCAAGGUUAAAACUCAAAUGAAUUGACGGGGGCCCGCACAAGCGGUGGAGCAUGUGGUUUAAUUCGAUGCAACGCGAAGAACCUUACCUACUCUUGACAUCCAGAGAACUUAGCAGAGAUGCUUUGGUGCCUUCGGGAACUCUGAGACAGGUGCUGCAUGGCUGUCGUCAGCUCGUGUUGUGAAAUGUUGGGUUAAGUCCCGCAACGAGCGCAACCCUUAUCCUUUGUUGCCAGCGGUCCGGCCGGGAACUCAAAGGAGACUGCCAGUGAUAAACUGGAGGAAGGUGGGGAUGACGUCAAGUCAUCAUGGCCCUUACGAGUAGGGCUACACACGUGCUACAAUGGCGCAUACAAAGAGAAGCGACCUCGCGAGAGCAAGCGGACCUCAUAAAGUGCGUCGUAGUCCGGAUUGGAGUCUGCAACUCGACUCCAUGAAGUCGGAAUCGCUAGUAAUCGUGGAUCAGAAUGCCACGGUGAAUACGUUCCCGGGCCUUGUACACACCGCCCGUCACACCAUGGGAGUGGGUUGCAAAAGAAGUAGGUAGCUUAACCUUCGGGAGGGCGCUUACCACUUUGUGAUUCAUGACUGGGGUGAAGUCGUAACAAGGUAACCGUAGGGGAACCUGCGGUUGGAUCACCUCCUU
This 673-nucleotide ribosomal RNA is filed under the name Pluralibacter gergoviae. RNAcentral's name for it is "bacterial SSU rRNA". It matches the Rfam family "Bacterial small subunit ribosomal RNA", at positions 859 to 1532 of the family's 1533-position model. Lineage: Bacteria; Pseudomonadati; Pseudomonadota; Gammaproteobacteria; Enterobacterales; Enterobacteriaceae. The record is from RNAcentral.